CCUACGGGAGGCAGCAGUGGGGAAUAUUGCGCAAUGGGCGAAAGCCUGACGCAGCGACGCCGCGUGAGGGAUGAAGGUCUUCGGAUCGUAAACCUCUAUCAGCAGGGAAGCACGGUCACUGUGCUAAUCAGCAGUGAAUUGACGGUACCUGCAAAGGAAGCACCGGCCAACUCCGUGCCAGCAGCCGCGGUAAUACGGAGGGUGCGAGCGUUAAUCGGAAUUACUGGGCGUAAAGCGCGCGUAGGCGGUAUGUCAAGUCAAGGGUGAAAUCCCCGCGCUCAACGUGGGAACUGACUUUGAAACUGGCAAACUGGAGUGUGUGAGAGGAUAGUGGAAUGCCAGGUGUAGGAGUGAAAUGCGUAGAUAUCUGGAGGAACAUCAGUGGCGAAGGCGACUAUCUGGCACAUAACUGACGCUGAGGAGCGAAAGCGUGGGUAGCAAACAGGAUUAGAUACCCUAGUAGUC
This 465-nucleotide ribosomal RNA is filed under the name uncultured bacterium. RNAcentral's name for it is "partial 16S ribosomal RNA". It matches the Rfam family "Bacterial small subunit ribosomal RNA", at positions 338 to 795 of the family's 1533-position model. The record is from RNAcentral.